RNAcentral lists this long non-coding RNA (6123 nucleotides) under Marmota monax (woodchuck). Lineage: Eukaryota; Metazoa; Chordata; Mammalia; Rodentia; Sciuridae. The record is from RNAcentral.
UUUCCUCAUUUCCCUUACAGAGGAUUUGUCACUAAUAUACAAAAAUGCCUUUGAUUUAUGGGUGUUGAUUUUGUAUUCUGCUACUUUGCUGAAUUUAUUUACUAGUUCUAGAAGUUUUCUGGUGGAAUUUUUUGAGUCUUCUAGGUAUAGAAUCAUAUCAUUGGCAAAUAGUGCUAAUUUGAGUUCUUCUUUUUCCUAUCUGUAUCCCUUUAAUUUCUUUCAUCUGUCUAAUUUCUCUGGCCAGUGUUAAAUAGAAGUGGUGAAAGAGGGCAUCCCUGUCUUGUUCCAAUUUUCAGAGGGAAAACUUUCAAUUUUUCUAUAUUUAGAAUGAUGUCGGUCUGGGGCUUAGCAUAGAUAGCUUUUACAAUGUUGAGAUGUUCCUGUUAUUCCUAGUUUUCUAGUGUUUUGAACAUGAAGGGAUGCUGCAUUUUGUCAAAUGAUUUUUCUGUAUCUAUUGAGAUGACAAUAUGGUUUUUAUGAUUAAGUCUAUUGAUGUGAUGAAUUACAUUUAUUGAUUUCUAUAUGUUGAAACAACCUUGCAUCCCUGGGAUGAACCCCACUUGAUCAUGGUGCACUGUCUUUUUGAUAUGUGUUUGUAUUCGAUUUGCCAGAAUUUUUGCAUCUAAGUUCAUUAGAGAUAUUGUUCUGAAGUUUUUUUUCUUUGAUAUGUCUUUGUCUGCUUUGGAAUCAGGAGUGACAUUGGCCUCAUAGAAUGAGUUUGGAAGUGCUCCCUCUUUUUCUAUCUCCUGAAAUAAAUUGAAGAGCAUUGGUAUUAGUUCUUCUUUGAAGGUCUUGUAGAACUCUGCUGUGUGUCCAUCUGGUUCUGGGCUUUUCUUGGUUGGUAAGCUUCUGAUGGCAUCUUCUAUUUCAUCACUUGAUAUUGGUCUGUUUAAAUUGUGUAUAUCGUCCUGAUUCAACUUGGGGAAAUCAUAUGACCCUAGAAAUUUGUCAAUGCCUUCAAUAUUUUCUAUUUUAUUGGAGUAUAAAUUUUCAAAAUAAUUUCUAAUUAUCUUCUGUAUUUCUCAAGUUUUUCCUGUGAUAUUUACUUUUUCAUUAUAUAUUUUAAUAAUUUGAGUUUUCUCUCCCUCUCAUUGUUAGCAUGGCUAAGGGUUUGUCAAUUUUAUUUAUUUUUUUCAAACAACCAACUUUUUAUUCUGUCAAAUUUUCAAUUGUUUAUUUUGUUUCAACUUCACUGAUUUCAGCUCUGAUUUUAAAUAUUUCUGCUUUUGGUGUUGAUUUGUUAUUCUUUUUUCUAGGGAUUUGAGAUGUAAAGUGAUUUAUUUGUUGACUUUUUCUUCUUUUAAGGAAUGAACUCCAUGCAAUGAACUUUCCUCUUAGUACUGCCUUCAUAGUGUCCUAGAGAUUUCAAUAUGUUGUAUCUGUGUUCUCAUUCACCUCUAAGUAUUUUUAAAUAUCCUCCUUUAUAUCUUUUGCAGCCCAUUGUUCAUUCAGUAGCAUAUUAUUUAGUCUCCAGGUGUUGGAGUAGCUUUUAUUUUUUAUUUUAUCAUUGAUUUCUAAUUUUAUUCCAUUAUAAUUUGAAAGAAUGCAGGGUAGUAUCUCUCCUUUUUAAUAUUUGCUAAAAGUUGCUUUGUAGCAUAAUUUAGGGUCUAUUUUAGAUAAGGAUCCAUGUGCUGCUGAAAAUAAAGUGUAUUUGUUCAUUGUAGGAUGAAAUAUUUUAUAUUUGUCAGUUUAGUCUAAGUUAUUGAUUCUAUUAGUAAGUUCUAUAGUUUCUUUGUUCAGCUUUUGUUUGGACUAUCUAUGCAGUGGUGAAACAGGUGUGUUAAAGUUACCCAGAAUAUUGUGUUGUGGUCUAUUUGACUCUUGAACUUGAGAAAAGUUUGAUGAAUGUAGAUGCUCUAUUGUUUGGGACAUAUAAAUUUAUUAUUAUUAUAUCUUGUUGAUGAAUGGUUCCCUUAAGCAGUAUGAAAUACCCUUCCUUAUCCCUUUUGAUUAACAUUGGCUUGAAGUCUUCUUUAUUUGAUACAAGGAUGGAAACCCCUCCAUGCUUCCACAGUCCAUGUGAGUGGUAUGACUGUUCCCAACCUUUCACCUUCAGUCUGUGGAUAUUUCUUAUGAAAUGAGUCUCUUGGAGGCAGCAUAUUGUUGGGUCUUUUUUUGUAAUCCAAUAUGCCAGUCUAUGUUUUGAUUGGUGAGUUUAUGACAUUAACAUUCAUGGUUAUUGAGACAUGAUUUGUAGUCCCAGCCAUUUUUGUUUAUUUUUGAUAUUUAACUUCACUUGGUUUCUCCUUUGAUUAGUUUUUCCUAUAGUGUAAUACCUCCCUUUUCUGAUUUUCUUUGUUGUUUUUCAAUUCCUCUUCAUGGAAUAUUUUGCCGAGGAUGUUCUAUAGUGCAGCCUUUUGAGUUGUAAAUUCUUUUAACUUUUGUUUAUCAUGGAAGUUUUUAUUUCAUCAUCAAAUUUAAAGCUUAAUUUUGCUGGAUAUAAGAUUCUUGGUUGGCAUCCAUUUUCUUUCAGAGCUUUGAUAUAUGUUCUUCCAGGAUCUUUUAGCUUUCAGGGUCUGGGUUGAAAAAUCUGCACAUAAUCUAAUUGGUUUCCCCCUAUAUGUGAUCUGAUUCUUUUGUCUUGUGGCUUUUAAUAUCCCCUCCCUAUUCUAUAAGUUAGGCAUUUUCAUUAUAAUGUGCCUUGGUGUGGAUCUCUUGUGAUUUUGUAUAUCUGGCAUCCUGUUAGCCUCCUGAAUUUGGUUUUCCAAUUCAUUCUUCAUGUUUGGAAAAUUUUCUGAUAUUAUUUCAUUGAAUAGGUUGUUCAUCCCUUUGGUUUGGAACUCUAUGCCUUCCUCUAUCCUCACAACUCUUAAAGUUGGUCUUUUCAUGCUAUUCCAUAUUUCUUGAAUGUUCUGCUCAUGGUUUCUUACCAUUUUCACACUGUGGUCUACAUUCUUUUCAAGAUUAUAUAUUUUGUCUUCAUUGUCUAAGGUCCUGUCUUCUAAGUGGUCUAAUCUGUUGGUGAUGCUUUCAAUUGAUUUAAAAAUUUUUUUUCUUUCAGUUCAAGGAUUUCUGUGUGUGUGUGUGUGUGUGUGUGUGUACUUGUAGAAUCUCUAUUUCCCUAUUGAAGUAAACUUUUGCUUCCUGUAUUUGUUUAUGUAGCUCAUUGUCAAAAUGAUCUUUUGUUGCCUCUAUUUGCUCUCUUAUAUCAUCCUUUAAUUCACAGAACAUUUUAAUUAUGUACAUUCUGAACUCCUUUUAUGUCAUUUCUCUUGCUGUGCUGGACGUGGAUUCUAAUAAUGUUGUAUCUUGAUUUGUUUGGGGCACUUUCUUUCCUUGUCUUUUCAUAUUGCUUGUGUGUCUUCCCUUCUAGCACUGUGAAUCCAAGGUGUUACCUUUUUUACCCUAUAGGUUUAUAGAGCCCCUGUAAAGAUCCAAUACCUUUCCUUUGAAGUGAAGGACAGUGUUAUCAGAUCCCAAUAUAAAUAAUAUACACUCUAAAAAUAAAUGUUUGCUAUUAAGACAUUUACAGUUUGGUUACAAUGUACAGAAAUGGUGAAUUCAAUUAUUAUCUACAAUAUACUCAGUAGGUUUGUAAAAGGGUUUACAGUUUUUGAUGGUGGACAAAGAACUGGGGGUGAGGAGUAGGAUGAUAUGCUGAGGAGGUAGAAAGUGAGAAUAUAGAGUUAUUAUAUCUUAGGAAAUGUGAAAAUGAAAUCUAAAGAGGAAGAUUAGUACAGGAAGAGAGAGAGGAAGUAAUUUGGGGUAGACAAGUAAGUGGAAAGACAGUAGAGUACAUAAAACACACACACAUAUACAUUAAGAAAAAUAAAAAAAUGUUAAAAUAGUACAAAUUUGUUGAGAGUCACAUAUAUCAGAUUAACUAUCUAUUUUAAGUUUAUUAAAACAUCAUGGUUAAGGAAAUAUGAUGGUCAAUUUUGGCCAAAAUGGAAAUGGAUAUAUUUUAUUUGAUAUAUGUAUUUUUAUGUGAUAUAUAUAUAUAUAUAUAUAUAUAUAUAUAUAUAUAUAUAUUUUGUUUUUUUUUUUGUGGUACUGGGGACUGAGGCUAAGAGUGCUCUACCACUGAACUAUAUUCUUAGCCCUUUUUAUAUUUUAUUUUAAGAAAGGGUCUUGCUCAGUUACCGUAGGCUGACCUCAAACUUGUGAUCCUCCUUCCUUGGUCUGUAAAUACAUGUUGAUAAAUGUCUAUAUUUAUCAACAAGGUAUAGGGUGAGCACAAGCAGGAAGUAGGUUUGGAAUGUCUAUAGCUCUCUCUCUCCCUCUCUUUCUCUCUGACUGUUCAUCUCACUACACCCCUUAGAACAGCUCUACGUGUUCUGUGACAGAGAUACCAAGAUCCCCCAUCUUCUUGAAUUACAUCCUGGAGAGGAUGCUUAGAUAUAAAAUCAGACAGUUUCUAUAUCACAUGCAAAGUGCUAGGAUAGUAGGGUAAACAGGUACCUGAGAGAACCAAAGGGAGAAAUUUAGAUCAAGAUGGAGGGUGCCAGAAGCCUGCCUUUGUUUUGAAGAUGAAAACCCGGCAGGUGAAGAUAUGAGGGACACUGCAUGAUCCACCAGGACCCUGAGCCACUCAACAGCACCAACAAGUCGUGAGCCCAAGUUUGUUGAACUCCGCUAUGUUCUAGGCAUUAUGCUGCAUUCUCCUGUAUUUCAUUUGUGCUUCACAAACACCCCUGAGGAAUCAUUUCCAUUUCAUGGCAAGAGGAAGCUGUAGCAUGGGUAGUCUGAGACUUGCCUCAGGUGAUGUGGCUCUGCCAGCUUUUAAACACUCCAUGUGGACAAAGUGUCAGGUUUGAGGUCAGAUCUCAGGAAGAUGGGCUGGAGCUGCCCGCAGGGACCCAAUGUCAGGGAGAGUGAAGAGUUAAGGAAAGGGGAGGGUGUGAAGCUGGGAUAGUGAGCUUUUUGGAUUCUUCUGUGGGGAACAUGGGUGAAGGGGGUGAGCCUGGAACAGGGAAUCAGUUAGGAGCCUUCUCAAGUUGGCCUGAGGGCUUCCAGGGGUUCUUAUUCUUGCAUUCUUCCCACAGGGAGGGUAUGCAAGGAGCUAAGGACAAGACCAAGAACGGCACUCCCAAGUGCGAUGGUAGACCUUCCCCCUGGCUGAAUUAUUGAUCACCCUGCAUCUGUUUUCUCACAGCUUCUAGAGUAUUCCAUUUCCCACUUGUGUGUUAUUUCCUAAGAGGUGCAUACUGGGUUCAUUUGCUCCUGCUUAGGGAGUGUCUCCUGAGUUGAUCUCUUGGAGAUCAACUAAUUUGAGGACCAACACUGCUGCCACUGGCAGUGGGUACACCUGGAAGUUCCCUAGGUGCUUGGGUGUUCUAGCAAACACAACAGUCCCCACCUAUCUGAAGUUUUGCUUUCCAUGGUUUCAAUGGUGUUCUGAAAAUAUGAAAUGGAUUCUGUGGUCUUAUUACCCUGAACGUGCCCGAUCUUGUCUGAAAAUAUUAAGUGGAAAAUUCCAUAAAGAAAGAUUUAAUAAAUUAUUUAAAACUGAUUACAGAAUGCUGUUGUAAUUGCUGUAUUUUAUGAAUUGUUAUUGUUGCUCUCUUACUGUAUCUGCUUUAUAAGGGAAACUUUAUCAGACAAAUGUAUGCAUAGAAGGAAACAGGGAGAGCUGGUAUUAUUUGAAGUUUGAGGCAUCCACUGGAGUCUUGGCAUGUAUCCCUUCUGGAUAAAAGGAAACUAUUGUGCAACACUUGCUUAGUUAUUUAUUCCUUAUUACUUAUUUGUUCUUCUCUCCCCAUCCAGUUUCCUUCUCCUGAAGAUCUCCAUUAAGAAAGCUGCAAGUUUUAGGGGAAUAAUAUCUGUGAUGUCUGGCCACUGAUUCUCAAGGUUAGUUUCAAAUGAGCACCGAGAAAGACGUGAGACAUCCUUGGAUCUUUGCAGUGCCUGCUGCCCAUGAAAAUGUUCUUCAGGUGCAAAAGGACACGUAGGCUCUGUCACAAAUCUUGCCUCCAGUCUCCUCACCCUCCCAUGUUUCAUGGUUCCCCCUAACACUCCUGAUUCUGAUAUUUUGCUUCAAUGUUCAUUUCCCAUCUGUCUCCUAUUACUAGAAGGAAAGCCCCCAGAGAAUAUCAGUUUUCUCUAUUUGCUUUCUGUUAUAGACUGUGCCUGGCACAUAGUAGGCCCUCAAUUAAUAUUUGUUGAAUAAAUGAAUGGAUGAAA